CUCGGGCCCAAAAUGGCCACCAAGCAGCAAUCUCUGCAGUUUCAAGCAAGCCAUGAGAUCCAGACCUGGAUCCAGACCUGGAGAGAGCACUUUGAAGCCCGCUUUGACCGAAUCUGCCAGGAAUUCUGGAAGCGCAUGGAGCAUAAAGCCACCCAUUCUGACCUACCUGGUAUGAAGGUGAAGGAGGCUGAAGCGGCAAUUCACCGAUCCAGUGCCCACGCGGAGUUGCGCCCAUCUUGCCGACGGGCCCGCCAGCGGACUCUCCCGACACCGAACCGAAAAGCAGCAUGCCAACACCGACCACUCACCUUACAACCUUGCCGCAGCUUCUAUGCACGACGCUCAGAUGGGAGUCGACUACAUACUCGCGGACCCCUCCGCCGGAGAAAAAACACAUGGCAACACAGAUUCGGAGCACAGAGAAGGCCCAGAGACCAAGUCCCAGCAACUGUCGGCGCUGAACAAGAGCACACAAGCGCUUGGGACUGGUACGGCGCUCACCUGC
Molecule: non-coding RNA, 505 nt
Organism: Pelobates cultripes (western spadefoot toad)
Lineage: Eukaryota; Metazoa; Chordata; Amphibia; Anura; Pelobatidae
Source: the annotation of a GenBank genome assembly